GACGAACGCUGGCGGCGUGCUUAACACAUGCAAGUCGAACGGAAAGGCCUUUUCGGAGGUACUCGAGUGGCGAACGGGUGAGUAACACGUGGGUGAUCUUCCCUGCACUCUGGGAUAAGCCUGGGAAACUGGGUCUAAUACCGGAUAGGACCGCACUUUAGUGUGUGUGGUGGAAAGUUUUUUCGGUGUAGGAUGAGCCCGCGGCCUAUCAGCUUGUUGGUGGGGUAAUGGCCUACCAAGGCGGCGACGGGUAGCCGGACUGAGAGGUUGGUCGGCCACAUUGGGACUGAGAUACGGCCCAGACUCCUACGGGAGGCAGCAGUGGGGAAUAUUGCACAAUGGGCGCAAGCCUGAUGCAGCGACGCCGCGUGGGGGAUGACGGCCUUCGGGUUGUAAACUCCUUUCGCCAGGGAAGAAGCGUUUUGUGACGGUACCUGGAGAAGAAGCACCGGCUAACUACGUG
Molecule: ribosomal RNA, 463 nt
Filed under: uncultured bacterium
Lineage: Bacteria
Description: partial 16S ribosomal RNA
Rfam family: Bacterial small subunit ribosomal RNA
Source: RNAcentral